This 468-nucleotide ribosomal RNA is filed under the name uncultured bacterium. RNAcentral describes it as "partial 16S ribosomal RNA". It matches the Rfam family "Bacterial small subunit ribosomal RNA", at positions 28 to 507 of the family's 1533-position model. The record is from RNAcentral.
GACGAACGCUGGCGGCGUGCUUAACACAUGCAAGUCGAACGGAAAGGCCCUGCUUGUGUGGGGUGCUCGAGUGGCGAACGGGUGAGUAACACGUGAGUAACCUGCCCUUGACUUUGGGAUAACUUCAGGAAACUGGGGCUAAUACCGGAUAGGAGCUCCUGCUGCAUGGUGGGGGUUGGAAAGUUUCGGCGGUUGGGGAUGGACGCGCGGCUUAUCAGCUUGUUGGUGGGGUAGUGGCUUACCAAGGCUUUGACGGGUAGCCGGCCUGGGAGGGUGACCGGCGACAUUGGGACUGAGGGACGGCCCAGAGUGGUACGGGAGGCAGCAGUGGGGAAUAUGGCACAAUGGGCGGAAGCCUGAUGCAGCAACGCCGCGUGCGGGAUGACGGCCUUCGGGUUGUAAACCGCUUUCGCCUGUGACGAAGCGUGAGUGACGGUAAUGGGUAAAGAAGCACCGGCUAACUACGUG